Molecule: non-coding RNA, 231 nt
Organism: Cinara cedri
Lineage: Eukaryota; Metazoa; Arthropoda; Insecta; Hemiptera; Aphididae
Source: the annotation of a GenBank genome assembly
UUUUUUUUUUUUUUUUGAAAAAGUAAAAGAGAAAACUGUACAUAAAAACAUGUAAUAAUAAUAAUAUAUUGAAAAAGUUUUAAAAAAUAAAAAAAACGUUGUAUACUCUUGUUCUGUUGUCAUUAGACUAAAAUUUCUGUACCAAGUCUGAUAGUGUUUUGGUCUGUGUAAUUUAUUAUAUAAUUUUAGUACAUGAUAAUACGUAUUAUACAUGAUAUUAUGAAACAAAAG